CACCGCCGCGGUAAUACCGGCGGCCCGAGUGGCGGUCACUAUUAUUGGGGUUAAAGCGUCCGUAGCCGGGUUGGGAAGUCCUCCGGGAAAUCUGGCCGCUUAACGGUCAGAAUGCCGGAGGAUACUCCCAGCCUAGGGAGCGGGAGAGGCCGCGGGUAUUCCCGGAGUAGGGGUGAAAUCCUAUAAUCCCGGGAGGACCACCUGUGGCGAAGGCGCUCGGCUGGAACGCGUCCGACGGUGAGGGACGAAGGCCAGAGGAGCAAACCGGAUUAGAUGCCCGGGUAGUCCUGGCUGUAAACGAUGCGGACUUUGUGUCGGACAAGCUAUGAGCUUGUCCGGUGCCGGAGGGAAACCGUUAAGUCCGCCGCCUGGGGAGUACGGCCGCAAGGCUGAAACUUAAAGGAAUUGGCGGG
RNAcentral lists this ribosomal RNA (413 nucleotides) under uncultured microorganism. RNAcentral describes it as "bacterial SSU rRNA". It matches the Rfam family "Archaeal small subunit ribosomal RNA", at positions 460 to 872 of the family's 1478-position model. The record is from RNAcentral.